RNAcentral lists this ribosomal RNA (502 nucleotides) under uncultured Pseudomonas sp. Its description in RNAcentral is "bacterial SSU rRNA". It matches the Rfam family "Bacterial small subunit ribosomal RNA", at positions 903 to 1382 of the family's 1533-position model. The record is from RNAcentral. Lineage: Bacteria; Pseudomonadati; Pseudomonadota; Gammaproteobacteria; Pseudomonadales; Pseudomonadaceae.
CGCCUUGCCAGCCCGCUCAGAACUUAAAGGAAUUGACGGGGCCGCACAAGCGUGGAGCAUGUGGUUAAUUCGAAGCAACGCGAAGAACCUUACCAGGCCUUGACAUGCAGAGAACUUUCCAGAGAUGGAUUGGUGCCUUCGGGAACUCUGACACAGGUGCUGCAUGGCUGUCGUCAGCUCGUGUCGUGAGAUGGUUGGGUUAAGUCCCGUAACGAGCGCAACCCUUGUCCUUAGUUACCAGCACGUUAUGGUGGGCACUCUAAGGAGACUGCCGGUGACAAACCGGAGGAAGGUGGGGAUGACGUCAAGUCAUCAUGGCCCUUACGGCCUGGGCUACACACGUGCUACAAUGGUCGGUACAAAGGGUUGCCAAGCCGCGAGGUGGAGCUAAUCCCAUAAAACCGAUCGUAGUCCGGAUCGCAGUCUGCAACUCGACUGCGUGAAGUCGGAAUCGCUAGUAAUCGUGAAUCAGAAUGUCACGGUGAAUACGUUCCCGGGCCUU